RNAcentral lists this non-coding RNA (28 nucleotides) under Bombyx mori (domestic silkworm). Lineage: Eukaryota; Metazoa; Arthropoda; Insecta; Lepidoptera; Bombycidae. The record is from RNAcentral.
UCGUGGUAGGUGAUGCCCUUUUCUUUGC